UCAUCCUGGCCCGUUUGCGGUACC
Molecule: small RNA, 24 nt
Filed under: Bombyx mori (domestic silkworm)
Lineage: Eukaryota; Metazoa; Arthropoda; Insecta; Lepidoptera; Bombycidae
Description: ovarian small RNA-26077
Source: RNAcentral